RNAcentral lists this ribosomal RNA (1455 nucleotides) under Pelagibacteraceae bacterium AG-414-J22. Its description in RNAcentral is "bacterial SSU rRNA". It matches the Rfam family "Bacterial small subunit ribosomal RNA". RNAcentral also lists the same sequence under 1 other name. Lineage: Bacteria; Pseudomonadati; Pseudomonadota; Alphaproteobacteria; Candidatus Pelagibacterales; Candidatus Pelagibacteraceae. The record is from RNAcentral.
AGAGUUUGAUCAUGGCUCAGAACGUACGCUGGCGGCACGCCUAACACAUGCAAGUCGAACGCAGUAGCAAUACUGAGUGGCGAACGGGUGAGUAUAAUGUGGGUAUCUGCCUUUUGGUUUGGAAUAACACGAGGAAACUUGUGCUAAUACCGGAUAAGCCCUUACGGGGAAAGUUUUAACGCCGAAAGAUGAGCCCGCACUUGAUUAGCUAGUUGGUAAGGUAAUGGCUUACCAAGGCUACGAUCAAUAGCUGAUCUGAGAGGAUGAUCAGCCACAUUGGGACUGAGACACGGCCCAAACUCCUACGGGAGGCAGCAGUGGGGAAUCUUGCACAAUGGGGGAAACCCUGAUGCAGCGAUGCCGCGUGAGUGAAGAAGGCCCUUGGGUUGUAAAGCUCUUUCGUCGGGGAAGAAAAUGACUGUACCCGAAUAAGAAGGUCCGGCUAACUUCGUGCCAGCAGCCGCGGUAAUACGAAGGGACCUAGCGUAGUUCGGAAUUACUGGGCUUAAAGAGCACGUAGGUGGUUAGAAAAGUUGGUGGUGAAAUCCCAAGGCUUAACCUUGGAACUGCCAUCAAAACUUUUUAACUAGAGUGUGAUAGAGGUAAGCGGAAUUUCUAGUGUAGAGGUGAAAUUCGUAGAUAUUAGAAAGAACACCAAUUGCGAAGGCAGCUUUCUGGAUCACUACUGACACUGAGGUGCGAAAGCAUGGGUAGCGAAGAGGAUUAGAUACCCUCGUAGUCCAUGCUGUAAACGAUGUGUGCUAGACGUUGGAAAUUUAUUUUUCAGUGUCGCAGCAAAAGCGUUAAGCACACCGCCUGGGGAGUACGACCGCAAGGUUAAAACUCAAAUGAAUUGACGGGGACCCGCACAAGCAGUGGAGCAUGUGGUUUAAUUCGAAGAUACGCGCAGAACCUUACCAACACUUGACAUGUUCGUCGCGACUCUAAGAGAUUAGAGUUUUCGGUUCGGCCGGACGAAACACAGGUGCUGCAUGGCUGUCGUCAGCUCGUGUCGUGAGAUGUUGGGUUAAGUCCCGCAACGAGCGCAACCCCUACUUUUAGUUGCUACCAUUCAGUUGGGCACUCUAAAGGAACUGCCAGUGAUAAGCUGGAGGAAGGUGGGGAUGACGUCAAGUCCUCAUGGCCCUUACGUGUUGGGCUACACACGUGCUACAAUGGUACUUACAGUGAGAAGCGAAGAGGCGACUCUAAGCCAAUCCCAAAAAGGUACCUCAGUUCGGAUUGUACUCUGCAACUCGAGUGCAUGAAGCUGGAAUUGCUAGUAAUCGCGGAUCAGCGCGCCGCGGUGAAUACGUUCCCGGGUCUUGUACACACCGCCCGUCACACCAUGGAAGUUGGUUACACCUUAAGGCAAAGCCUAAAAACUUUGACUACGGUACGAUCAGCGACUGGGGUGAAGUCGUAACAAGGUAGCCGUAGGGGAACCUGCGGCUG